Molecule: long non-coding RNA, 482 nt
Organism: Prosopis cineraria
Lineage: Eukaryota; Viridiplantae; Streptophyta; Magnoliopsida; Fabales; Fabaceae
Exons: 3
Source: RefSeq, a predicted model, not a curated record
UGUGCAUUAGGAAGCAUGAGAGGCUAAGAUGCAAUUUAGAGAAAAUUGCAACUUUGGGCCCAAAGGUUUGAAUAAUUAAAUUCAAACCUAUAGUUUUUUUUAAUAUAAUUUUGGGACUCACAAUCCCAUUUUUAUAUUAUUUUUCUCUCUUCCUCUCACGUUGCUCGGCGUUUUCUCGCAAGGGGGGAUUAUUUUCUUUUUUCUUCAGAUUAUAUUGACAAAGAUAGUGGUGAAAAAGGAGUUGUGAAGGGGAACUUGUUAUUCAAGACACAAGGAGCGAGUCCGGCCGAGAAAGCACCAGAGGUGUAACUGUGGUGUAUGAGACACCAUCUUUUACGUUGCCUCUUAUUUUAGAUUAUACAAUGUAUCUUGUGCCAACUUAGGACAUAUCUUCUUUGUGAAGCAUGUAAACUCUAAUCCUUUUUAUUAAAAGUAUUUAUAUGACCAAGAGGAUUAUGUCUGUCCCUCUUGAUUUAUGAUCU